Molecule: long non-coding RNA, 462 nt
Filed under: Homo sapiens (human)
Lineage: Eukaryota; Metazoa; Chordata; Mammalia; Primates; Hominidae
Description: HSALNT0047897
Source: RNAcentral
GAACAAAGUGUUGUCAAAUAUAAGGUUGCUAUGGUAGCAGGCGACUCAGGGUUACAACAUUGAACCAUUCGUUCUACAAUGUGACAUCAGUGCAGUGCAGGAGGCGCUUCAAAAUUCAUGGCAGUGAACAUCAGAAGCACUUGCUACUUACUGCUGAUCAAGCGAUGAAAUGAAGAAAGCUAUUUGGAAGAUGUUCAUUUCACAUAAGAAUGAAUAAUCUAAAGAUUUGAUGCAUCAAUCCAGGACAUACUAGGUAUGGCCAGGAUGUUUUGGGCUGUGCAGGUGCUUCCUGUAUUCACAUGUGGAGCCUGGGAGGCUGACGAGCUCACUCACAGAGCCUGAGGUAUUCUAUGGAAACUCCAAAUUGAAUGUGACAAAUCUUCCUGGGUAUGCAUUUUGAGUGAAGGUUUGGGAAAAGAAAGCUUUAAAAACUGUUAAACACAGAUAUAAAUGAAAAAAAAA